RNAcentral lists this ribosomal RNA (314 nucleotides) under uncultured bacterium. RNAcentral's name for it is "partial 16S ribosomal RNA". It matches the Rfam family "Bacterial small subunit ribosomal RNA", at positions 499 to 807 of the family's 1533-position model. The record is from RNAcentral.
UUAUAAGAGACAGCAGUAGCCGCGGUAAUACCGAGGGUGCGAGCGUUAAUCGGAUUUACUGGGCGUAAAGCGUGCGUAGGCGGCUUUUUAAGUCGGAUGUGAAAUCCCUGAGCUUAACUUAGGAAUUGCAUUCGAUACUGGGAAGCUAGAGUAUGGGAGAGGAUGGUAGAAUUCCAGGUGUAGCGGUGAAAUGCGUAGAGAUCUGGAGGAAUACCGAUGGCGAAGGCAGCCAUCUGGCCUAAUACUGACGCUGAGGUACGAAAGCAUGGGGAGCAAACAGGAUUAGAUACCCCUGUAGUCCCUGUCUCUUAUAC